AUUCUCAAAACCGUUUCUUCUAAAUCGAAGCGCUGUGACUAAAACUAAGAUCGAGAGAGGUGAAGCCAUGGAAAUUUCCCGAGCUCGUUCAAGCUUCGUUUGUCUUCUUCUUUUGAUACUCUCCUUUUGUUUACUGUCCUGUGUUUUGGCUAAAUCUCCUCGUCCUAUCUCCGAUGUAGAGAUCAGGCAGAAGAAGAACGAAUGCUAUGCUGAUAUAGAGAGUGGGUUAUGGGGUUGGCAAUGCAUAUCUUCUGCAAUAGCAAAAGAGAACUGUGCGCUGCGAUGCCUUUCUCCGGUUUGCUAUGAACUCAUUUAUGAGAGUGAUCCGCUUGAAGAAGGCGAAAAAGAUUUGAUUAGAAGCCAAGAAUACAAGUAUUGUAUGUACAAGUAAGGUCAAAGCGACUAUAUUCUUUUUGGUUUUACUACCACUUUUUGGAACUUGACAAUCAUUGUGGUUCUCACUCCCCAUUAGGUUAUCUCUCGGGGAAAGCCUAGACGGUGUCCGAGGCAGUUUUUGAUAGUAUCAAAGAAGAAAGACUCAGUGAAGACUUUUUUUCUUUUGCCUUUGCCAAAAGCUGAGCGUAGCUCUUGAGCUUGAGAGAUCCAUGGUAUUCUGUUCUAUCAGGUCUGAAGCCAUGUAAGGCUUUGAUUGUUACAAACUUACAAUCAUCAAUUUUUGCGUAUAUGGUUGUUUAUAUGAGACGUUUACAUUUCUGAUUGGUAAAUCCAUCGAAUUUCACAAA
Molecule: RNA transcript, 743 nt
Organism: Capsella rubella
Lineage: Eukaryota; Viridiplantae; Streptophyta; Magnoliopsida; Brassicales; Brassicaceae
Exons: 5
Source: RefSeq, a predicted model, not a curated record